UACGUAGGGGGCAAGCGUUGUCCGGAAUUAUUGGGCGUAAAGAGCUCGUAGGCGGCUUGUCGCGUCUGCUGUGAAAACUCGGGGCUUAACUCCGGGCCUGCAGUGGGUACGGGCAGACUAGAGUGCGGUAGGGGAGACUGGAAUUCCUGGUGUAGCGGUGAAAUGCGCAGAUAUCAGGAGGAACACCGGUGGCGAAGGCGGGUCUCUGGGCCGUAACUGACGCUGAGGAGCGAAAGCGUGGGGAGCGAACAGG
RNAcentral lists this ribosomal RNA (253 nucleotides) under uncultured bacterium. RNAcentral describes it as "partial 16S ribosomal RNA". It matches the Rfam family "Bacterial small subunit ribosomal RNA", at positions 524 to 776 of the family's 1533-position model. The record is from RNAcentral.